Molecule: ribosomal RNA, 753 nt
Filed under: Triticum aestivum (bread wheat)
Lineage: Eukaryota; Viridiplantae; Streptophyta; Magnoliopsida; Poales; Poaceae
Description: partial small subunit ribosomal RNA
Source: RNAcentral
AUGUGGUGCAAGUGGAUACUGAGAAAAGAAGAUUACUCCUGCAUUUGUUGCAAGUUUGAAAAGGAUGGCAUUUUGUGCUCUCAUAUUCUAAAAGUCAUGUUGCACCUUGAGGUGGAUAAGAUACCAUACAAAUACAUAAUAGACAAGUGGAGGAAACAAGGCCAGAAAAUGAAUAAACCCAAGGCGAUUCCACUCAUAUUAGAUAAUGAUGAACUGAGAUACAAUGUCCUAGGCAUGAAGCUAGUGGAGCUUGGCUCAAACGCUUCAAAGAGUCAAAGGAAGUUUCAAUACUUGCUAUCAGAAAUGUUCAGGAUUCAACAACACUUAAUUGAUAUGGAUAGAGAAGGAGAAGAAGAGAUGGAUGGGCAAGGAGAACAAAUAGAGGAGAGCAACAGAUCCAACAAGACAAUAGGCACACUGACAACUAUGGCACAGAGUGGUGGCAGCAAAUCAACUAUUGAGCUAUUGAAUCCUGAUAAGGCGCACACAAAAGGGCGCCCACGAAUGAUGACCAUACAAGAACGCAUAAAAAACAAGACAUUCUACAAGUGCAACCACUGUAAUGAUCCGGGUCACACAAAAAGGAAAUGCACUAAUCUGGAUAAAGUAUACGACAUCCCAAAAAAGAAGAUAUCAAGGAAGACUAGCCAGCCAAGAUCAGCUGAUGGAGGGCGAGGGCGACAGAACGCUACCAACAAAGAGAUCAACGCCACCAACAUACCUAUCAAUGAGGUCUCCCAACUGCAGCAAUGA